GCGUUGUUCGGAUUUACUGGGCGUAAAGGGCGCGUAGGCGGCGUGACAAGUCACUUGUGAAAUCUCUGAGCUUAACUCAGAACGGUCAAGUGAUACUGUUGUGCUAGAGUACAGAAAGGGCAAUCGGAAUUCUUGGUGUAGCGGUGAAAUGCGUAGAUAUCAAGAGGAACACCAGAGGCGAAGGCGGGUUGCUAGGCUGAUACUGACGCUGAGGCGCGAAAGCUAG
RNAcentral lists this ribosomal RNA (226 nucleotides) under uncultured bacterium. Its description in RNAcentral is "partial 16S ribosomal RNA". It matches the Rfam family "Bacterial small subunit ribosomal RNA", at positions 538 to 763 of the family's 1533-position model. The record is from RNAcentral.